RNAcentral lists this long non-coding RNA (4016 nucleotides) under Crocodylus porosus (Australian saltwater crocodile). RNAcentral describes it as "lncRNA (ENSCPRG00005000859.1)". The record is from RNAcentral. Lineage: Eukaryota; Metazoa; Chordata; Crocodylia; Crocodylidae.
GGGGCGGCCUCUGCUCCUCCUUAUAGCAGAGGGGCGUCACAUGGCUCCGCACGUCAGAGCCACCCCGGGGGACGCGUCGCGCUCAGGCUCGCCCGGCUGCGGCCGCGGCUGCCCGGGACUCCCCGCGACUGGGGCCGGGGCAAAAGGCAGCUCAGGCUUUUUCCCGGGGCCUGAGGCACCCCGCCCCCGCGUGCGGCGCUCGGGGACCCGGAGGCAGCCUGGUCGCCCGAAGCGGCGCAGGAGGCAGGAGCGGCCCGGCCGGGACCGGGUAGGGCCGCGGGGUGACUGCUCCGUGGCCGCCGCUCCGGCCAAACUGCGCUCUGGAGCACACGCAAGGAGGAAGGUUGGCUCGAUAGCUUUUUCAAUGCCUGGUGACGCGCGAUUUAUAACAACGACAGAUUUUAUAACAACAAACGAUCAAAGGCAUCAAAACAUUACAAAAAAUGUGAAAGGGGGUCGGAGUCAGCGGAACCCUCCUGCAGUCGCACGGGAUUUCAAGCCCCCCAGCCCCGCGGCCGCACGCGCCUCUGGGGGAGUCGCUGCAUCACAACCCGCUUGAAACUGGGGCGUUUUAUAGACUUUCACUCGGAGGAAAAUCAGCCGCCAGCUCCAACAGCCCAUUUCAAGAGAAGGCUGCAGUUCAAAAGCCUUUGCAAUAGAUCCCCCUGCAUGAAAAGUUCCAGGCACCACUGCUUCAAGCUGAGGGACUCGGCACUGCGUUUUUCUCCACGCCGGGAACCUUGCACCACACAAGCCUCUGGGAAGGCCCCGCUGCAGGCCGAGGCCCGGAGCGGGCUUUCUCGCGCUGUUUUCUUGGGUGUCAGCCACUCGAGGAAGCCGAGCGGACAUUGCCCCCAGGCUGCUAUUAUAGCCUUUCCGAAGCGUCGACACCCACGUGAAGGAGCCAGCCGGGGACCUGCGUGCCGAGCACGGGCCCUCGUAUCUCAGCGGACUCCCGGGCACCUCCCCUGCCAAGCCUGGCACCGCCGCCGGGCGGCUCCGGCCACGGGAGGAAGGCGAGGGGGGCUCCCGCGGGGCGCUGAGCAGCCUCUGCCCGCACACGAGGCGGGUGUGCUCCAUCGCGGGCUCUCUUCUGUGCUCCUCUUCUGGAUUUCUCAAAGCACCGCUUGUAGAUCACCAGCUUGCUCGCUUGUUUUCCCGCUGGUCCCUGGAGCUCUGCUAAAGCUGAAGGCAGGAGAAAUGACCCGCACCCCCCACGCACCCUGUUGGGCAGGGACAGCCGGCCGGCAGCCGCGGGGCCGUGCCCAGCUGCAGGAGGGCGCGGAGAGGCCGGGAGCCCUGGGAGCGGCGGGCAGCUCAGCUCUCCCAGGCGCGCACCGCCGGCCGCGCCGCAUCUCCCCGCCGCGGCCCGGCGCACGGGACAGCGCCGCCAUCUAGCGGGGAGAGGCCGGAGUGCCCCUCGUAGGCAGCCGGCAGCCCGGCCCGGCUCGGGGGCCGUGAGCGACUUGCCCGGCGCUCCUCCCUUGCCCCGCGCAGCCAGGGGCCUGCGGGCAGGAAGACGCCCGCCCGGGGCUGAACAUCAGGACAGGAUCCGAAGGCGGCCCCUGCUGCGCGCGCAGCUCCGGCUCCUCUACCCGCUUCGCCGCCCCCCCGGCGGUAGCUCCGGGCCGGGCCCUCGCUUGCAGCCAGGCUGCUCCGCUGGCUGGGGGGGUCUGUCUGGAUCCCGGCCGCAGGCACCAGCCGGCCCCGCCCUUCGCUCCGUCCGUUUCUUUAGACGCCAAAAUUGCUGCGGAGAGCAGCGAGGAGCCGGCACCAGCGCGGCUGAAAGGCCUCGCUGAUGAGCGCCCCGUCCCGCGCGAGGAGCCGGCCACGGCUGGGGGCGCCUCCCUGGCUCUUUGCUACCGCGGCUGAUGCUCUUGUGGAGAAGCUGUGGGCAGCAGGCUCAUGCUUUCCCAAUUGCCAGCCGCCCCGCCCCUGUCUCCUGGGCCAAGCGCCGCCCUGCGGGGACAAAUCUGAACGCGACCCAAGUCAUUUCCACUGUCGCUCCUGUCCUGGCCCAUGCAGGCGCUCCUGGCUCGGUGGGAGGACGGGCUUCCUCAUCUAAGCAAAGCUUCCCCCGAUAAUAAGCAUCAACGUGAUCUGCAAUAACUCAGCCUAGCUGAAGCCCUGAGGGUUGGAGUGAGAUUCCCCGAGGUAUAUCAUUUGGCAUGAAGGAUCCCCACGCAAGAUGUUUUAGCCUGAUCUCCUGUGCAGAUUCAUAACCCAAGACAGAAAUAGAAAAACACAGAAAAAUAAUAAGAGUUAAUUUUAUCUACCUAUCCAUUGAUAUAGAUAUAGAGAUAGAUAUGUAUAUAUAUAGGACCUUAUUAUAUAUAUACAUUUAUAUAUCAUAUGUGUAUAUGAUAAUAUAAUAUAUAUUAUAUGUGUGUAACAUGUAUCUCUUAUAUAUAUUUGUAUAUGUAUAAGUGUGUGUAUAUAUGUGUUACCAUUGGGAGGACAGCAUGGGAAAACAAGCCCUGCACUGUUCCUAAAAGUUCAUGUGCUAUCUACAGAGGACUGCAGCUGAAUGACAUCCAAGGCCCAACAUAUUCUUUCCCCCAUAUCCAGUCCCCAGGACUCUUGAAGUGUGAUGGAGUACGAAUUUCUCAGCCAACCUCCACCAUUGGAGUGACUGAAUAAGAAGAGAUUGGUACUCUUUGCUAUCAUGAUCCAGACCAGCUAGGGCAUUCUAAAUUAAAACGAAUGCCUUGAAUUAUACAGGGAAGCAGAAAAUCAGUCAAGCUUCUUGCAUUAGAUGAAUGGAUUCCCACCUGAUCUCAUAUCUGAGUUACUUAGGCUGUUUGCUCUGUGACUUCACUAAGGAUCUCCUGGUCCAAGUCAUAAGCUAAGGUGACACUGAAUGUUGGUGCUGGAUUUAAGGCAUCUAUUUGAUCAUCAUCAUACCAAACCUUUAUGAUGAGACUGGGGUUGUCCUUGCUCUUUAGUAUGAGCAGGUAUAUUUUAGGGAAAAGGUCUCUGGGAAUUCUUUGUUUUUUAUUAGGUCAAAUUAGGACACUACUUUCCCCAUUUGCCUUAGAAACACAAGAAGUUAGAGGCAUAAUUUUAAAGGAUAUUUUAAAGAUAACACUACUAUCUGAAUUUGUAAAAGCUGGGCAUUUUAUAUGUAAGUUCAUGGAAAGACUGCCCCAGAAAGAAUUACAUUUGUAUUCUUAUUUUCAAACUUAGUACACAUAUGUGUACAGGUGCACAUUGCUCUUCACUCCUCAAAAAUUGGCAGAGUGGAGAAUAUGGGAGAAUUAAAAAAGAGGAUGGAAGUGGUAAAGAAAGGGGUAGAAUGUCUCAAGUUUUGGAACUACUUUUCUUGGCACAGAUAGAUGAAUACAUUAUGCACAAUGCAAGAAAUAUUGGAAGGAAGUGAGCCAUGCCUCAUUCAAUGUACCGUAUGUCUUACAAGACACAGCAAAUGAGGCAGAACGCUACAUACUUUCAGAGAUGUGCACGGUAAUCACACACACAUGCAUAUUACAGCAUUCCUCCACUUAAGGCAGCAGAGGCGUAAUGAGCAGCUGGCACCCUGGGCAAACCCUGAGGGACAGCGAGGCACAAUUCUGAGAGUUGGUGGGGGGUAUGGUUUCAAGAGCUGGGGGAUGCUCAGGUUUCAAGAGCAGAGGUGGAUGCACCAAUCUUACUCAUGCUGGGAAAUCCAAAACAGACCCCAACUGAGCUUCUGCUGUUACAUAUUCUGCUAGCUCUGGCUAGGGUCUGUUUUGGAGUCCUCAGCAUGGGUAAGCUGUGGAUCUGCUCUUGGUGCCAGGGCAUGGACUUCAUAGGGCUGGAGGAUAAUUCCAGUGCCACUCCUAACUUGGUGCCCAGGGAAGGAGCCUCUCUGGCCCACCCCUAGUUAUGCCACCAUCAAACAGGAUUUCUCAAAAUAUAGGUUGUAGGUCCUGAACAGAGAAGAGGGAUGGGGAAGAUUUCACAAGGGAUUAGGAGGUGGAACAAAAUUAUUAACAUUUUGUAACAAAAUAUGAAUAAACAAUAACAAAUUAUAAACA